GGCGAACGGUGAGUAACACGUGGGCAACCAACCCCAGCCUCUGGGAUAACCUCGGGAAACCGGGGCUAAUACCGGAUACUCUCGAUGGGUCGCAUGGCCCAACGAGGAAAGCUCCGGCGGACUGGGACGGGCCCGCGGCCUAUCAGCUUGUUGGCGGGGUAAUGGCCUACCAAGGCGUCGACGGGUAGCCGGCCUGAGAGGGUGUCCGGCCACACUGGGACUGAGAUACGGCCCAGACUCCUACGGGAGGCAGCAGUGGGGAAUAUUGCACAAUGGGCGCAAGCCUGAUGCAGCGACGCCGCGUGGGGGAUGACGGCCUUCGGGUUGUAAACCUCUUUCAUCAGGGACGAAGCGGAAGUGACGGUACCUGCAGAAGAAGCACCGGCCAACUACGUGCCAGCAGCCGCGGUAAUACGUAGGGUGCGAGCGUUGUCCGGAAUUACUGGGCGUAAAGAGCUCGUAGGUGGUUUGUCGCGUUGUUCGUGAAAACUCACAGCUCAACUGUGGGCGUGCGGGCGAUACGGGCAGACUGGAGUACUGCAGGGGAGACUGGAAUUCCUGGUGUAGCGGUGGAAUGCGCAUAUAUCAGGAGGAACACCGGUGGCGAAGGCGGGUCUCUGGGCAGUAACUGACGCUGAGGAGCGAAAGCGUGGGGAGCGAACAGGAUUAGAUACCCUGGUAGUCACGCCGUAACGGUGGGUACUAGGUGUGGGUUUCCUUCCUUGGGAUCCGUGCGUAGCUACGCAUUAAGUACCCGGCUGGGAGUACGGCCGCAGGUAAA
RNAcentral lists this ribosomal RNA (781 nucleotides) under uncultured bacterium. Its description in RNAcentral is "bacterial SSU rRNA". It matches the Rfam family "Bacterial small subunit ribosomal RNA", at positions 97 to 897 of the family's 1533-position model. The record is from RNAcentral.